Long non-coding RNA from Cynocephalus volans (Philippine flying lemur), 511 nucleotides. RefSeq lists it as uncharacterized. NCBI's taxonomy places the organism in Eukaryota, Metazoa, Chordata, Mammalia, Dermoptera, Cynocephalidae. The transcript is spliced from 4 exons. The record is from RefSeq and is a predicted model, not a curated record.
ACAUGGCUGGUAGUCCUUUUGAGUUUGAGAGCAGUGUCAGCUGGUUCACGGAGUCCUCUCAGGCUCUUCACCUCUAGGGGAGCAGGGAAGAAUGAAGGGAAACUGGGGCAGCAGAUCUCUCUGCCUGCAGGUGCUGUCCCUGGAGACCCUCCUACAACAGCCAGACUUUUUGAAAACAUCUGUGGCGAGGAAGCUCAUCUAACUAAGCCACACAUAACUGAAUGCCUACUCUGCACAGGGAGCUGGGAUGGGCAGGACAGUACUAAGAUGAGCUAUGGCCUGGGAGGGAACCAGCCAAUUCUGUCUGGAGGAGCCAAGAAAAGUUUCGGAGAGGAGGUGAGGCUUUAGACCAGCCUGGAAGAACAAGUAGAAGCUAUCCAAGCAGACAAGAAAGAGAUGGGGCUUUCUAAGCAAUGGAGACAGCACAUGCAUGUGAGAUCCCUGCAUUUGCUGUAAAGCCACCACACAAGAAGACCCUCACGAUUUGUUGCCCUGAACUUCGGAUUUUCCA